UGAAGAGUUGGUCUUUGAAUGUGUUCUC
RNAcentral lists this non-coding RNA (28 nucleotides) under Mus musculus (house mouse). Lineage: Eukaryota; Metazoa; Chordata; Mammalia; Rodentia; Muridae. The record is from RNAcentral.